UGGUGCAUCUGGAGGUGUUCAUUCCUCCCAG
RNAcentral lists this non-coding RNA (31 nucleotides) under Homo sapiens (human). Lineage: Eukaryota; Metazoa; Chordata; Mammalia; Primates; Hominidae. The record is from RNAcentral.